This 108-nucleotide ribosomal RNA is filed under the name Thermacetogenium phaeum. The record is from RNAcentral. Lineage: Bacteria; Bacillati; Bacillota; Clostridia; Thermoanaerobacterales; Thermoanaerobacteraceae. RNAcentral also lists the same sequence under 1 other name.
UUGGGUCGGAGGGGCUGUGUUUACGGAAACCCAUUCCGAACACGGCAGUUAAGCCCUCCAGCGCCGAUGGUACUGGGUUUUCCCGGGAGAGUAGGUCGCUGCCAGGAA